RNAcentral lists this ribosomal RNA (494 nucleotides) under uncultured bacterium. Its description in RNAcentral is "partial 16S ribosomal RNA". It matches the Rfam family "Bacterial small subunit ribosomal RNA", at positions 28 to 507 of the family's 1533-position model. The record is from RNAcentral.
GACGAACGCUGGCGGCGUGCUUAACACAUGCAAGUCGAACGGUGAAGCGCCUUCCUUUUUGGUGGGUGUGGAUGAGUGGCGAACGGGUGAGUAACACGUGAGUAACCUGCCCCCUUCUUCUGGAUAACCGCAUGAAAGUGUGGCUAAUACGGGAUAUUCUGGGUCUGUCGCAUGAUGGGUCUGGGAAAGAUAUUGUUUCGGUUGGGGAUGGGCUCGCGGCCUAUCAGCUUGUUGGUGGGGUGAUGGCCUACCAAGGCGGUGACGGGUAGCCGGCCUGAGAGGGUGGACGGUCACACUGGGACUGAGACACGGCCCAGACUCCUACGGGAGGCAGCAGUGGGGAAUAUUGCACAAUGGGCGCAAGGCUGAUGCAGCGACGCCGCGGGAGGGAUGGAGGCCUUCGGGUUGUGAACCUCUUUCGCCAGUGAAGCAGGCCUGCCUCGUUUGUGGGUGGGUUGACGGUAGCUGGAUAAGAAGCGCCGGCUAACUACGUG